AAAAACCAAACGAAGAUUUACUAUAUGAAACACGUUCCUAAGCUCCUAAAUAUCACGAAGACUUAAAACAUAAAAGACAAUCAAGCAAAGUAAAGUAAAUGAAUAGUGAAAGAAAAUGAAAACGGCCCUAUGUGAAAGUGCAAGUGACACUUGGAGCCCCUUGACACACUUUCACACUAAAAGGUGGAAACUAAACUAUUACAAUGUUGAAUGGUACACUUGNN
RNAcentral lists this long non-coding RNA (224 nucleotides) under Vigna radiata. RNAcentral describes it as "long non-coding RNA (VRAD_LNC002371)". The record is from RNAcentral. Lineage: Eukaryota; Viridiplantae; Streptophyta; Magnoliopsida; Fabales; Fabaceae.